AUUGAACGCUGGCGGCAGGCCUAACACAUGCAAGUCGAGCGGAGCGGCGGACGGGUGAGUAAUGCCUGGGAAUCUGCCUGGUAGUGGGGGAUAACGUUCGGAAACGGGCGCUAAUACCGCCUACUAUCCGAUGAACCUCGGCGGGAUUAGCUAGUUGGUGGGGUAAAGGCCUACCAAGGCGACGCUCCGUAACUGGUCUGAGAGGAUGAUCAGGCACACUGGAACGCAGCAACGGUCCAGACUCCUACGGUAGGCAGCAGUGGGGAAUAUUGGACAAUUGGCGAAAGCCUGAUCCAGCCAUGCCGCGUGUGUGAAGAAGGUCUUCGGAUUGUAAAGCACUUUAAGUUGGGAGGCGUUACCAACAGAAUAAGCACCGGCUAACUUCGUGCCAGCCGCCGCGGUAAUUC
RNAcentral lists this ribosomal RNA (407 nucleotides) under uncultured bacterium. RNAcentral describes it as "partial 16S ribosomal RNA". It matches the Rfam family "Bacterial small subunit ribosomal RNA", at positions 30 to 526 of the family's 1533-position model. The record is from RNAcentral.